This 339-nucleotide ribosomal RNA is filed under the name Triticum aestivum (bread wheat). Its description in RNAcentral is "partial small subunit ribosomal RNA". The record is from RNAcentral. Lineage: Eukaryota; Viridiplantae; Streptophyta; Magnoliopsida; Poales; Poaceae.
AUGGUGAUCAUAGCCCUCACAUCCAUCUUUGUAAAUGCAUCAUCUCCAAAGGCGUCCAUGAAAAAGGGGGGCUGGUACUGUCCUUCUAGGGGUUUUGUGAAACUUAAUGUUGACGCCUCCUUUCAUCAUGACAUGCUGAAGGGUACGGUGGAGAUAGUCUUGAGAGACGACAAAGUUUUAGCACUCAAAUUUGGCCUAAUACAGGCGCAAAGGGCGGGGUGUAAUCGCAUAAUCAUCAACUCAGAAAAUUCUGGAGGUGAUAGAGACCAUGCAGGACGGAGGACAAUCAGCGGGUGCGGCGGCGGCCAUUUUCGAGGACUGCUUUCACUAUGCAUGUGA